ACGGAAGGUGCAAGCGUUAAUCGGAAUUACUGGGCGUAAAGCGCGCGUAGGCGGCUAGAUAAGUCGGGUGUGAAAGCCCCGGGCUCAACCUGGGAACUGCAUCCGAAACUGUCUGGCUAGAGUGUAAUAGAGGGAUGCGGAAUUCCGCAUGUAGCGGUGAAAUGCGUAGAGAUGCGGAGGAACACCAAUGGCGAAGGCAGCAUCCUGGAUUAACACUGACGCUGAGGUGCGAAAGCGUGGGGAGCAAACAGG
RNAcentral lists this ribosomal RNA (252 nucleotides) under uncultured bacterium. Its description in RNAcentral is "partial 16S ribosomal RNA". It matches the Rfam family "Bacterial small subunit ribosomal RNA", at positions 525 to 776 of the family's 1533-position model. The record is from RNAcentral.